GAUGAACGCUGGCGGCGUGCCUAAUACAUGCAAGUCGAGCGAACGGACGAGAAGCUUGCUUCUCUGAUGUUAGCGGCGGACGGGUGAGUAACACGUGGAUAACCUACCUAUAAGACUGGGAUAACUUCGGGAAACCGUAGCUAAUACCGGAUAAUAUUUUGAACCGCAUGGUUCAAAAGUGAAAGACGGUCUUGCUGUCACUUAUAGAUGGAUCCGCGCUGCAUUAGCUAGUUGGUAAGGUAACGGCUUACCAAGGCAACGAUGCAUAGCCGACCUGAGAGGAUGAUCGGCCACACUGGAACUGAGACACGGUCCAGACUCCUACGGGAGGCAGCAGUAGGGAAUUUUCCACAAUGGGCGAAAGCCUGACGGAGCAACGCCGCGUGAGUGAUGAAGGUCUUCGGAUCGUAAAACUCUGUUAUUAGGGAAGAACAGAUGUGUAAGUAACUGUGCACAUCUUGACGGUACCUAAUCAGAAAGCCACGGCUAACUACGUG
Molecule: ribosomal RNA, 497 nt
Filed under: uncultured bacterium
Lineage: Bacteria
Description: partial 16S ribosomal RNA
Rfam family: Bacterial small subunit ribosomal RNA
Source: RNAcentral